AUCAGUAGAUUUGGAACAUGUUAACAAUUUUCUGAAUUUGAAUCCUCUGCCUUGCAUUGAGCCUGGGCAUCUUAAAUUAAAGGGUUAUGCAGAAGAGGCAAUGAUUUUGGUUCAGGAAAUUGAUUCUGCCUUGUCAACGAGUUCAAAAUCCUCUAUCCCUGAGUUGGAACAGCUAUAUUCCAGAGCGUGUGAGGUACCUAUCUAUGUAAAGGAAAUGGAGAAGUUGAUGGCAAGGAU
Molecule: long non-coding RNA, 237 nt
Organism: Vitis riparia (riverbank grape)
Lineage: Eukaryota; Viridiplantae; Streptophyta; Magnoliopsida; Vitales; Vitaceae
Exons: 3
Source: RefSeq, a predicted model, not a curated record